Molecule: ribosomal RNA, 479 nt
Filed under: uncultured bacterium
Lineage: Bacteria
Description: bacterial SSU rRNA
Rfam family: Bacterial small subunit ribosomal RNA
Source: RNAcentral
AGGACAACGCUGGCGGCGUGCUUAGCACAUGCAAGUUGAACGGGAUUCGCUCUAUGAAGUGUUAUAGCGAAUUAGAGCGAUGAGAGUAGCGGACGGGCGAGUAACGCGUGAGUAACCUGCCCUUUGCUGGGGGAUAACAUCGGGAAACCGGUGCUAAUACCGCAUAAGACCACAGUGCCACAUGGUACGGCGGUCAAAGCUCCGGCGGCAAAGGAUGGACUCGCGUCCAAUUAGCUAGUUGGUAGGGUAAUGGCCUACCAAGGCGACGAUUGGUAUCCGAACUGAGAGGUUGAUCGGACGCAUUGGGACUGAGACACGGCCCAGACUCCUACGGGAGGCAGCAGUGGGGAAUAUUGCGCAAUGGGGGCAACCCUGACGCAGCAACGCCGCGUGAAGGAUGAAGGCUUUCGGGUUGUAAACUUCUUUGAUCGGGGACGAAGAUGACGGUACCCGAGGAACAAGCCACGGCUAACUACGUG